RNAcentral lists this long non-coding RNA (6537 nucleotides) under Sus scrofa (pig). RNAcentral's name for it is "lncRNA (ENSSSCG00040026394.1)". Lineage: Eukaryota; Metazoa; Chordata; Mammalia; Artiodactyla; Suidae. The record is from RNAcentral.
ACGCAGGUUUGAUCCCUGGCCCCACUCAGUGGGUUAAAGGAUCUGAUAUGGCCGUGAGCUGUGAUGUAGGUCGAAGACAUGGCUCAGGUCUGGCGUUGCUGUGGCUAUAGUGUAGAGCCUCCACUGCAGCUCCGAUUUGGGAAUUUCCAAAUGCCGAAGAUGCGGCCCUAAAAAGAAAAAGAAAAGAAAAGAAAGAAAAAAGUUGGUGCCUGCCAGAAGCAUCCAUCACCGAAGUGCUGAACAAAGUAGACACAGUUCCUCAGCUAAUUGUGUUGGCCAGCCAUUGCCAUUGUCAAGUCUGGAACAGGCACAAUGGGCACGUGAAGAGAUUGGCUACAGUGAAAGAGAUGAAGGCUGUGUAUUGGCCCCGAAACAUCAACUUCUGCUUCCCAGGAUCAGGCUAAGUGUCGCUGCCUCUGAAUGUCCAAAUUGUCAGCAACUCGGACCGACACGGGGGAUCCUCAUGUGGAACCAUUCCUCAAAGAGGACAACUCAAAGAUCCCUUCCAACCGGGAAGAGCCAGUGGUUCAUCCUUACAAGGAUUGACAUUUAUUCCAGGGAUUGGUUUUCCUUUCCCACUCACAGAGCCGCAGCCAGCACCAUUUUCUGGGGCUUUUGGGAAGCUUGAUGCACAGGCAUGAAAUCCCACUCCACAUAACUGCUGACCAGCGGGUCCAUUUCGUAGGGAAGAAGGUGUGGGAAUGAGUUCAUGACUUCCUUUCUUGUUCGAAUGGUGUGGUCAGAAAAAAACCUAGGUUUUCAUUUGGUGUUACCUGAGUAGAUAUUGUGGAUUUGUUACAUUUGGCUUUUAUGAUAUGCUGUUAUGGACUGAAUUGUGUCACCUGCAAAAUUCAUGUGUUGAAGUCCUAACCCCCAAGGCCAAACAAUGUGAUUGCAUUUGGGGAGAGGGCCUUUAACGAGGUAAUUGAGGUGAAAUGUAAGAAAAGGUAAAAUGAGGUCCUUAGGAUGGCGCUAAUCCAAAGUGACAGGUGUCCUUAUGAAAAGAGAUUAGGACACAGAUGUGCACAGAGGCAAGACCUUGUAAAGACACAGGGAGAAGAUGGUUAUCUACGAGCCAAGGCGAGGGGUCUCAAAAUGAAGUCAUCCCUGCCAGCACCCUGAUCUGGAACUUCUAGCCUCAAGAACCGUGAGAAAAUAUAGUUCUGUUGUUUAAGCCACCUGCUCUGGGGUAUUUAUUAUUGCAGACCUAACAAAGUAGUACACAUGUUAAGCUAAUAAUAACUUUUAUAGUGGUUAGUGUUACAGUUUACAAAGCGCUUUCAGUUGCGCGUCUUAAUUGAAUCUCAUCACAACUCUGUGAAGUACUUGGGUAGGUGUUAUAUUUUUCGGUUAGGAAAACUGAGGACAUGGGAAUCCCUAAGAUACGUAGUAAGUGACAAAAUUAGGUCCUGAGUCCAAGUGUUCUGACUCCAGCUCCUCUCUCUCCAGUGGGACCUUCUCUAUUUAAAAACCGUCAGUGGCCAAGGUCUUGGGAUGGUGAACAAGGUCCCUCUCAGGCAGGUGUCCUGUUCCAUCUCCUGUCACUCAGCCCUUUCAUCCUGUGCUUUAUCAACACGGAAUUACAGCUCUAUAAAUCAAAUAUACCUCGCUCUGCCAUGCAUUGUGUGAACUGCUUCUCCAGCUGGGAUGCUUUUGCUGCUUUCUCGACCUGAAAAAUUAUGACACAUUCUUCAAAACUCAGCUCAAAUACCGCCUUGUCUGUGAACUCCACCGUGACUCUCUCUCCCCUGUACUCCCAUAUUUUGUGUAUUUUUCUGCAGUUGCACUUACCUCGUGAGUUGGAAAGCAAAUUAACAGAGCAGAAAAGGGCCAUGGCUAUGGAGCUGUUCUCGAAGGUUAGGUUUUUGUCUCAUCACAGAAGGAAUUUAGAAACAAGAUGGGAAUUGGGAAAACUGAGGAUUUAUUUCGGUGAGAAAUACCCCUCUUAAGGAGAGGCGGGCAGAGAGACGAGUGGCUGCUCUGCUCUUUUUUGGCACGCCGUUUAUAUGGGGUCUCUAAUUUGAUGGGUGGGAUAUUCACUGGGAAGGUGGGGUUGGGGGUCAUGCUCCUUAAUUUUCACCCCUCUUCACCUUCCCGAAGGGAGGAGGGAUUUUUUGUCCUUAUUUAGUUUUAACGGAAAUGUCAUGACGUCGGUGUAUGAUGGGCACUUCUUAUCUGCACAGCUGAUUUUAUUAUAAUGAGGGCAUCCUGGGCAACAGGUUGCAUCCAGACACUGGAGAUUCAUGCUCUUCUCCACCUUUCUUUGGCUGCCCCCAGAGCACUUAUCCCCCCAAAAGGUAUGGUUUCCUAUCUGUCUGGAGGUUCUUUAUCCACCCAUGGGCCCUGCUGUUUGCAUGACAUGUGGUUUCCUGCCAUCUGGCCCCAUGUACCCUUUCUCUGCUCAUGCCUAUCUGUCUGCUGCAACAGAGCGAAGCAUGUGUAGGGUCGAAUCCUGACUCUGCCAUGUUUCAGUCAAGCUUUCAUCAAGUAUGAAUUAGAUGAAACACACUGAACCAUGUUCUUGGAAUAUAAAGAUGGCAAAGCUUACUCACCCUGAAGGAAAUUCAAUCCAAAUGCAAUCUCCUUGAGGAUUCAAACAGGAAAUUAAAAUUUAGAGAGACAAGUGCGCUGCUGGAGAGAGGUACAGGGAGCACCAGGCAAGGCACCGACCCUUCCCUGGGUCAAGGAAGGCUUUUGAAGGACAAACAGGAAUUAAAUGAAGGGGGGUAGAAGAUUUCAGGCAGAGGAAUUAAAUGUACAAAAAAGAAGGAGAGAAUCACUCUCGAAGCCUCAGUCUCCUCCUCGGCAAAUGGGGAGAUGUACACCUAUCUCUUAGGGUUGGUGGCAGGAUUAAAUGACACAUCGUACGCAGAUCAUCUGAUGAGGUGUCUGACAUUGAGUGAGUGCUCACAGCAUUGAGGCAGUCUUAUUAUGCUGUGGUUAUAUCUGUCUGCCUCUCCGGCUUCACUGCAGGAGUUCCUGGAGGGCCAGGAGUUCCUUAUCCACUUUCAAAUCAUUAGCUUCUGACACUGUGCCUGGCAUGUGCUGAGCGCACAUGAUGUAUUUGUUGAAUAAGCGGAUGAAUGCCUGAAGGUCUGAGGAUGUGUUCCAGAUCUUCGCUAGUCUAAGACAAAAGUAAGACGGAACCAAACAAUCGUAGCAACCCUAAAAACCCUGCAAACUUCUCAAAAUUUUUCCUUUUUCAAUUAAUAGAAUGAGUAGGGCUUCCUUCUGUGAUUUAUGUCUCCUGAUUUACCAGAAAGUACCAAACGUGCCCCCUUAAAAAAAAUCAAAGAGCAACAGCUGUAGGAUGAGUUGAUUUUGAUGUGAGAAAGAGGAGUAAUAAAAGGGCAGGUCAGACCAAGUAUAAAUAAAUUCAAAUCCCACGACCUUUCCCCCUUCAGCUGUUACCAAUACUCCUCUACAGAGAUUUAAAACAUAGUUCAUUGAAAAGCUGGUCAAUGAUAGAAGGCUAGGAGACCAAUGUCUCAAGAACUCUUUUUCUUUCACCUUGGUACGUCCUAAAAUCCUGGAAUAUGAUGAGAAACAUUGUGUCAAUGCAUUUUACACAUACUAUGUGUCUAAAUAGAAAUUUUAGGUCUCCAUUACAGCCAUUCUUUUUAGCACCAAAAAAUUGCUAUACGGUAAAUAGACAUCAGUUAUCAAGGUCAGAUUCUCUGGAAACAAUCCCACGCUAUUAGCUAUGAGAGUCAUUAAACUGCAAUUUAAGCACAUUUUAAAUAGCCUAACGGACCUUUGUCAGGUCGAGCAUUCCUAGAGGAGAUGCUGUACUUCCAGAUUAAUUUUAGAGAUGCUCCAGCUCAAAACGUGUAAUCUGAAUUUACUCUCCAAAUUCCCAAAUCCAGAUUCUACGCCUCACUCUUCAAUUUAUUUUCUUCAGUUUGUAUGCAGAUUACACCAAGCAGGUGGUCUGUAGCUUGCAGUUGACAACACUUACCAGCUGUUAAAUUUACACAUCGCUCUAAUUUAAAUGCUUAAUUGCUCUCAGUGCGCUCAAUUUACAGCUCAUAAACCCCUCCCAAUGGCCCCCAAAUCUCUUUGCCUAUGAUAGAUUCAAAGUUAAAUGAACCAUAGUGUCCCUUGGUAGAAAAAUAAAAUAUUGAAUAAUCCUAAACUCUUUAAAUGUUUGUAAUUAUUUGCUGGAAAAAAAAUAACAUCUGAGCAUUUUCUUUAAGUUACUUUUGGAGAGGAGAGGUUGGGUUCAAUGAUUGCGAAGUCUCCUCCUAGUUCUUUACCAUCCUUGCUCUUUGAAGCUAGAGUACAAGUGUAGUACCUGCCUUUACAGGUAUAGAGCGUCCAGAAUGAUCAGGGAGGAUCAAAAAAUAUUUAAAACCUUGUGGACACUGUAUAAUGACAAACUGUUGCAGUCUCAGUGGCGUCUAAGUUACGUAUACAGAUGGUGUAAGAGUCACAGUCUGGUGGGAGAGUCUGAGGGCUUUUCUGUCUACCUACUCCUUUAGCCAGGAAAUUGAAUGUUGAUUUUGAAAGCACUCCUCUCAUUCAACUUCAUCGUUUUCCGGAUGAGGACGCGGAGCCCCAGAAGGUUUAAGUGGUUUGCUCAGUUAAGCAGUAAUGGGAGAGUAGGACAGGAAUUUCAGGUUCUUGCCUUUUGGGGCAACAUUUGGACCCCUUGACCUCCAGCCUCUCCUGUCCCCCAGUUUGUUGCAGAAAGGGAGUAAGCCUUUUUUAAACCUUGCACAAGACGCAGAAAUGGAUUUUUCUGAAUGAGUAGUACCAAAGUGCUUUUUGCUUUAAGCCAAACCAUGUAUGAAAAUAGGAGAUGUACGCUAGGACAAUAGGUAAGGUGUGCUCCUUAACCUAAUUUACAAGGAUUCAUCCUUAGAUUGUUGUAAAUAUCUAGGUUCCCUGCUGAAUCUUAAAGUUGGCCUAUGCUAGUCUCAAGAACUUAUCUAUUACAUAAAUUAUUCAUUCAAACCAAUUAGCAAGUGUUUAAAAGAAUAAUAGUCCCUUAGUGUACACUGAAGAUACUAGAAUCAAAUCCCUUAUAUAAAUUUUUUCUUUUAACAGCUGCACCUGCGGCGUAUGGAAGCUCCUGGGCUAGGGGUCACUUCAGACAUGUAGCUGCCGGCCUACACCACAGCCACAGCAACACCAGAUCCGAGCUUCAUCUGCUCCCUAUGCCACAGUUUGCAGCAAUGCUGGAUCCUUAACCCAAUGAGCGAGGCCAGGGACCUUGUAGUCCUCAUGGACAGUAUGUUGAGUUCUUAACCCACUGAGCUACAGCAGGAACUCCCAAGUCCUUUAUAUAAAAUGGAAUAGAAUUUCAUAUAACCUAUGUGUGUGCAUCCUUUUGUAUACUUUAAAUCAUCUUCAGAUUACUCUUAACACCUAAUACCAUGAAAGUGCUAUGUAAUCAGUUGUAAGUAUAAUGUAAAUGAAAUGUAAAUAGUUGCCUUUGCACAGAUUCAGGUUUUCUUUUGGGAACUUUCUGGAAUUUUUUAAAAAAUAUUUUCUAUCCAUGAUUGGUUGAUUCAGCGGAUGUGGAAUCCAAGGAUAUGGAAUGCCUACCACAGAGUCAGGUGCUAUACAAUUUUUUGUUUGUUUGUUUUGGCUGAUCCUGUGGCAUGUGGAAGUUCCUGGGCCAGGGAUCAAACCCAUGCCACAGCAGUGACAAUGCCAGAUCCUUAACCCACUGCACCACCAGGAAACUCCUACAGUUUUUAAAAAUAAUAAGCACAAUAUAAGUGGUGUUUCCUAUUGACAAGGAGCUUGCAUCUUAGGAGCAUAAGACAAACAAAUGAAACAACUUGAAAACAAAAUAGUAUAUAAUGAAGUGUUAAAUUGUAGAGUAUGAACCAAAAAGAAAACAAAAAGACUACUUACAGAAUGGGAGAAAAUAGUUUCAAAUAAUGCCACAGACAAGGGCUUAAUCUCUAGAAUAUAUGAGAAACUUACACAAUUCAACAGCAAAAAAGCCAAUCGACCAAUGGAAAAAUGGGCAAAAGACCUGAAUAGACUGUUCUCCAAGGAAGAUAUACAGAUGGCCAGCAAGCACAUGAAAAAAUGCUCAACAUCGCUGAUUAUAAGAGAAAUGCAAAUCAAAACUUCCAUGAGAUACCACCUCACACCAGUCAGAAUGGCCAUCAUUAAUAAGUCCACAGAUAACAAAUGUUAGAGGGGUUGUGGAGAAAAGGGAACCCUCCUGCACUAUUGGUGAGAAUGUAAACUGGUACAGCCACUAUGGAGAACAGUUUGGAGAUACCUUAGAAAUCUGUACAUAGAACUUCCAUAUGACCCCGCAAUCCCACUCUUGGGCAUAUAUCCGGACAAAACUCUACUUAAAAGAGACACAUGGGAGUUCCCGUCGUGGCGCAGUGGUUAACGAAUCCGACUAGGAACCAUGAGGUUGCGGGUUCAGUCCCUGCCCUGGCUCAGUGGGUUAACGAUCCGGCGUUGCCGUGAGCUGUGGUGUAGGUUGCAGAUGCGACUCGGAUCCCGCGUUGCUGUGGCUCUGGCGUAGGCCGGUGGCUACAGCUCCGAUUGGACCCCUAGCCU